RNAcentral lists this ribosomal RNA (93 nucleotides) under Micromonospora rubida. Lineage: Bacteria; Bacillati; Actinomycetota; Actinomycetes; Micromonosporales; Micromonosporaceae. The record is from RNAcentral.
ACGCCCGGUUACAUUCCGAACCCGGAAGCUAAGCCCUCCAGCGCCGAUGGUACUGCACUCGUGAGGGUGUGGGAGAGUAGGACACCGCCGGAC